CUAGUUGUUGGGGAUUUACUUCCUUGGUAACGUAGCUAACGCGUGAAGUUGACCGCCUGGGGAGUACGGCCGCAAGGUUAAAACUCAAAGGAAUUGACGGGGACCCGCACAAGCGGUGGAUGAUGUGGAUUAAUUCGAUGCAACGCGAAAAACCUUACCUACCCUUGACAUGGCAGGAACUUUCCAGAGAUGGAUUGGUGCUCGAAAGAGAACCUGCACACAGGUGCUGCAUGGCUGUCGUCAGCUCGUGUCGUGAGAUGUUGGGUUAAGUCCCGCAACGAGCGCAACCCUUGUCAUUAGUUGCUACGAAAGGGCACUCUAAUGAGACUGCCGGUGACAAACCGGAGGAAGGUGGGGAUGACGUCAAGUCCUCAUGGCCCUUAUGGGUAGGGCUUCACACGUCAUACAAUGGUCGGUACAGAGGGUUGCCAAGCCGCGAGGUGGAGCCAAUCCCAGAAAACCGAUCGUAGCCCGGAUCGCAGUCUGCAACUCGACUGCGUGAAGUCGGAAUCGCUAGUAAUCGCGGAUCAGAAUGCCGCGGUGAAUACGUUCCCGGGUCUUGUACACACCGCCCGUCACACCAUGGGAGUGGGUUCUACCAGAAGUGGCUAGUCUAACCGCAAGGAGGACGGUCACCACGGUAGGAUUCAUGACUGGGGUGAAGUCGUAACAAGGUAGCCGUAAAGGG
Molecule: ribosomal RNA, 688 nt
Filed under: uncultured bacterium
Lineage: Bacteria
Description: bacterial SSU rRNA
Rfam family: Bacterial small subunit ribosomal RNA
Source: RNAcentral